RNAcentral lists this ribosomal RNA (314 nucleotides) under uncultured eukaryote. Its description in RNAcentral is "partial 18S ribosomal RNA". It matches the Rfam family "Eukaryotic small subunit ribosomal RNA", at positions 1470 to 1796 of the family's 1831-position model. The record is from RNAcentral.
CCCUUAGAUGUCCUGGGCCGCACGCGCGCUACACUGAUGCAUGCAACGAGUUUAUAACCUUGGCCUGAAAGGUCUGGGUAAUCUUUUGAACGUGCAUCGUGAUAGGGAUAGAUUAUUGCAAUUGUUAAUCUUGAACGAGGAAUUCCUAGUAAACGCGAGUCAUCAGCUCGCAUUGAUUACGUCCCUGCCCUUUGUACACACCGCCCGUCGCUCCUACCGAUUGAGUGAGCCGAUGAAACUGCCGGAUGUGGACUAUUCAUAGUCUGCAGAAGAUAUUUGAAUCGUAGCGCUUAGAGGAAGGAGAAGUCGUAACA